AGCCUGAACGCUGGCGGCGUGGCUAAGACAUGCAAGUCGAACGGAUGUAGCAAUACAUCAGUGGCGGACGGGUGAGUAAUAAAUCGCUAAUGUACCCCGGAGCCAGGGAUAGCUGCCCGAAAGGGCAGGUAAUACCUGAUGAGACCACAACACCGCAUGGUGAAGUGCUCAAAGCCGUAAGGCACUCUGGGAGCAGGCGAUUACGUAUCAGCUUGUUGGUGAGGUAACGGCUCACCAAGGCGACGACGCGUAGCUGGUCUGAGAGGACGGCCAGCCACAUUGGGACUGAGACACUGCCCAGACUCCUACGGGGGGCUGCAGUAACGAAUCUUCCGCAAUGCACGAAAGUGUGACGGAGCGACGCCGCGUGUAGGAUGAAGUCCUUCGGGAUGUAAACUACUGUCAGGGGAAAGAAGUUCUGAUCUACCCCAGAGGAAGAGACGGCUAACUCUGUGCCAGCAGGCCGCGGUAAU
Molecule: ribosomal RNA, 473 nt
Filed under: uncultured bacterium
Lineage: Bacteria
Description: SSU rRNA
Rfam family: Bacterial small subunit ribosomal RNA
Source: RNAcentral